Molecule: non-coding RNA, 600 nt
Organism: Nipponia nippon (crested ibis)
Lineage: Eukaryota; Metazoa; Chordata; Aves; Pelecaniformes; Threskiornithidae
Source: RefSeq, a predicted model, not a curated record
AUCAAAUCUCUGCUUGCAAACACAGACCAGAUCCCAAGCUUAAUCCAGUCCUGGCCAAUGUAAAACACCCUCUCCCCACAAACGGCAUGUGCAAUUAGUGCAGACUGAUGGGAUUUAAAAAAAAAAAAAAAGGAUUCUCUUUUUUCAGAGCUGCAAGAGCAGAGUGCACAAGGUUCACAUUUGACGAAGGCUGCUUUUUCAGAUUUGUGGCUAGACUGGGGUGGAAAUUAGGACCUGGCCCCUUCUUCCCUGGCAUUGGGCAGUUUUGUCCUCCAUAGACACUAGAGGGUGUAAAUGAGGGCAGAACUCCUGAGUCCUAACAGGCUUCAUGAUAAAUAACUGUAUAGUGUAGCUAAAAUGUAGUGCCAAAUGCCAUUGUCUGAUUUCCUAUCCUUCCUUCCCCUUCCACCUGUAAAUUCAUUUCUCUCUCAAAAUGUACAAACCACCCCCUCCACCAACAGUCAGAACUCCAGCAAACCACUGAACAGUUUAUAAUUUUGUGGUGUAUUUUUUGUCAGUAGGUAGCAGAGACUGAAGUAUUUUUUGGUGUAAUUCUUGAACUUUUCUGACGGGAUUAAAAUAAAGCUAGAUGUGACUGAG